RNAcentral lists this ribosomal RNA (1368 nucleotides) under uncultured bacterium. RNAcentral's name for it is "16S ribosomal RNA". It matches the Rfam family "Bacterial small subunit ribosomal RNA", at positions 28 to 1381 of the family's 1533-position model. The record is from RNAcentral.
GAUGAACGCUGGCGGCGUGCCUAAUACAUGCAAGUCGAGCGAACGGACGAGAAGCUUGCUUCUCUGAUGUUAGCGGCGGACGGGUGAGUAACACGUGGAUAACCUACCUAUAAGACUGGGAUAACUUCGGGAAACCGGAGCUAAUACCGGAUAAUAUUUUGAACCGCAUGGUUCAAAAGUGAAAGACGGUCUUGCUGUCACUUAUAGAUGGAUCCGCGCUGCAUUAGCUAGUUGGUAAGGUAACGGCUUACCAAGGCAACGAUGCAUAGCCGACCUGAGAGGGUGAUCGGCCACACUGGAACUGAGACACGGUCCAGACUCCUACGGGAGGCAGCAGUAGGGAAUCUUCCGCAAUGGGCGAAAGCCUGACGGAGCAACGCCGCGUGAGUGAUGAAGGUCUUCGGAUCGUAAAACUCUGUUAUUAGGGAAGAACAUAUGUGUAAGUAACUGUGCACAUCUUGACGGUACCUAAUCAGAAAGCCACGGCUAACUACGUGCCAGCAGCCGCGGUAAUACGUAGGUGGCAGGCGUUAUCCGGAAUUAUUGGGCGUAAAGCGCGCGUAGGCGGUUUUUUAAGUCUGAAGUUAAGGCUGUGGCUUAACCAUAGUACGCUUUGGAAACUGUUUAACUUGAGUGCAGAAGGGGAGAGUGGAAUUCCAUGUGUAGCGGUGAAAUGCGUAGAUAUAUGGAGGAACACCGGUGGCGAAAGCGGCUCUCUGGUCUGUAACUGACGCUGAGGCUCGAAAGCGUGGGGAGCAAACAGGAUUAGAUACCCUGGUAGUCCACGCCGUAAACGAUGAGUGCUAGGUGUUGGGUCCUUUCCGGGACUCAGUGCCGCAGCUAACGCAUUAAGCACUCCGCCUGGGGAGUACGACCGCAAGGUUGAAACUCAAAGGAAUUGACGGGGGCCCGCACAAGCGGUGGAGCAUGUGGUUUAAUUCGAAGCAACGCGAAGAACCUUACCAGGUCUUGACAUCCCUCUGACCGCUCUAGAGAUAGAGAUUUCCUUCGGGACAGAGGUGACAGGUGGUGCAUGGUUGUCGUCAGCUCGUGUCGUGAGAUGUUGGGUUAAGUCCCGCAACGAGCGCAACCCCUAUUGUUAGUUGCCAUCAUUUAGUUGGGCACUCUAGCGGGACUGCCGGUAAUAAACCGGAGGAAGGUGGGGAUGACGUCAAAUCAUCAUGCCCCUUAUGACCUGGGCUACACACGUGCUACAAUGGCUGGUACAACGAGUCGCAAGUCGGUGACGGCAAGCUAAUCUCUUAAAGCCAGUCUCAGUUCGGAUUGUAGGCUGCAACUCGCCUACAUGAAGUCGGAAUCGCUAGUAAUCGCGGAUCAGCACGCCGCGGUGAAUACGUUCCCGGGCCU